CUACGGGUCGCAGCAGUGGGGAAUAUUGCACAAUGGGGGAAACCCUGAUGCAGCAACGCCGCGUGGAGGAUGACGCAUUUCGGUGUGUAAACUCCUUUUAUAUCCCAAGAUAAUGACGGUAGGAUAUGAAUAAGCACCGGCUAACUCCGUGCCAGCAGCCGCGGUAAUACGGAGGGUGCAAGCGUUACUCGGAAUCACUGGGCGUAAAGGGCGCGUAGGCGGGUUGUCAAGUCUUGAGUGAAAUCCAACGGCUCAACCGUUGAACUGCUUGAGAAACUGGCAGCCUAGAGUGAGGGAGAGGUAGAUGGAAUUGGUGGUGUAGGGGUAAAAUCCGUAGAGAUCACCAGGAAUACCCAUUGCGAAGGCGAUCUGCUGGAACUCUACUGACGCUGAGGCGCGAAAGCGUGGGGAGCAAACAGGAUUAGAUACCCUAGUAGUC
Molecule: ribosomal RNA, 439 nt
Filed under: uncultured bacterium
Lineage: Bacteria
Description: partial 16S ribosomal RNA
Rfam family: Bacterial small subunit ribosomal RNA
Source: RNAcentral